RNAcentral lists this ribosomal RNA (253 nucleotides) under uncultured prokaryote. RNAcentral's name for it is "partial 16S ribosomal RNA". It matches the Rfam family "Bacterial small subunit ribosomal RNA", at positions 525 to 777 of the family's 1533-position model. The record is from RNAcentral.
ACGGAGGGGGCUAGCGUUGUUCGGAAUUACUGGGCGUAAAGCGCGCGUAGGCGGCUUUGUAAGUUAGAGGUGAAAGCCCGGGGCUCAACUCCGGAACUGCCUUUAAGACUGCAUCGCUUGAACAUCGGAGAGGUAAGUGGAAUUCCGAGUGUAGAGGUGAAAUUCGUAGAUAUCAAGUGGAACACCGGUGGCGAAGGCGGUCUUCUGGACAGUGACUGACGCUGAGACGCGAAAGCGUGGGGAGCAAACAGGA